UACGGGGGGUGCAAGCGUUAAUCGGAGUUACUGGGCGUAAAGGGCGCGUAGGCGGUUGUAUGAGUGUGAUGUGAAAGCCCCGGGCUUAAACUGGGAAGUGCAUCGCAAACGAUAUAACUGGAGUAGAUGAGAGGGUGGCGGAAUUUCCGGUGUAGCGGUGAAAUGCGUAGAGAUCGGAAGGAACGUCGAUGGCGAAGGCAGCCACCUGGCAUCAUACUGACGCUGAGGCGCGAAAGCGUGGGUAGCGAACAGG
This 253-nucleotide ribosomal RNA is filed under the name uncultured bacterium. RNAcentral's name for it is "partial 16S ribosomal RNA". It matches the Rfam family "Bacterial small subunit ribosomal RNA", at positions 524 to 776 of the family's 1533-position model. The record is from RNAcentral.